UUUUACCAGUACCCAUUAGGUGAAGACUGAAAGGCUGUGCUAUUUACACCCCCUACUCCACCCCCUGCUGUUUCUGGGAAGGCCGGCAGCUACAGGACAGCAGACGGCAGGAUUUAGGGCUGACGGAGACACGUUAGCAGCACCCGCUCGGGUUCCCCGUCAGCAGAGGGCACUUCCAGCACCCCGGGAAGCGGCCGCUUCAGCCGCUAUGUGUUUGGAGGCGGCUGCUGCAUGCAAACCUCUCAGGAGGCAGCAGAGAGUGCUGUUCAAUAAGCAGUUGUUACCAGUUUGGUUCUCGUCUUAACGAAAAAUCGAAGAGGAAAACAUGGAAGAGGGAUAAAGAAUUUCUGGGCUCUUUCUGCUCAUCGAAAAGAGUCCUCUGUCCUCUGCAAGUGCUGAUAUGGGACCAAAAAAAGACACGAAGGGACAUGGUUAGUGAGCAUGGUGGUGAUGGGGUCGAGGGUUGGACUAAAUGAUCUUAGCAGUCUUUUCCAGCCUCAUGAUUGUAUGAUUCUUUGAUCAGCUAGCAUUUUACAAGCCUUUGCACUUGGCCAGUCUGUUUCUCCUGCCUGGUUGUCUCAGCUGCAGUUGCUUAAAGGCCAGCAGGUGGGCAUACAGGGCAGACCCACAGCACGGCACAGGGAAGGUACCAACUGCCUGCUACCAAAUCCAGGGUUCAGUCCUUCAAAGUUCCUCCUCUGCUGUUACCUGGCUGUGCAGGCAGGUGAAACACGUUAUCUCAUAGACCUCAGAGAUAAACAAGCAAAAUAAAUCCUUCACACCAACUAGAGCUUGUGGCUUUUCUUCUCAGGAGACAAAAGAAGAGGAAAACCCUAAUGGUAAAAAGAAGAUGAAAACAGAUCUUGUCACACCUGAUGAGGUAGCGGAGGAAUUGGAAAGUUCCAGCUAAGGCCACUGAAUCAAAAUGAAAGAAGGGAAGCCAGAGAAAGGAAACUGCAAAAGUAAAACAGUUGGGAACUAAACUUGAAUAUAUGAGUUUAACUCCCAGUGUAGCAACUAAUGUUUAUAGGCAAACACAUCUUACUUUCUCUAUUAAUAAUAAGUUCAAAAAGUCCCACUUCUGGUAGAAUAGGUUGAAAGAAUUAUUCUCAGUGAAAGUGACACUUUGGAGAGGACUCUACGUAGAAGGAUUUAAUUUACCAUCUGCUCUUGAUUUGAGGCUGACUAGCAAUUUUAAUAUAUAUUUUUCUCCAGUAUGAAAUAUUUUCUUCAGCUUGCAAUUUCCAAAAUUUCUAACCUGUGUAGACAAACAAUCUAUGAAUUCUUUAAUAAAAGAUUUUAAAAAAUG
Molecule: long non-coding RNA, 1309 nt
Filed under: Gallus gallus (chicken)
Lineage: Eukaryota; Metazoa; Chordata; Aves; Galliformes; Phasianidae
Description: lncRNA (ENSGALG00010006477.1)
Source: RNAcentral